RNAcentral lists this transfer RNA (64 nucleotides) under marine eukaryotic metagenome. It matches the Rfam family "tRNA", at positions 5 to 66 of the family's 71-position model. Rfam says of the family: Transfer RNA (tRNA) molecules are approximately 80 nucleotides in length. Their secondary structure includes four short double-helical elements and three loops (D, anti-codon, and T loops). The record is from RNAcentral.
AGUGUAGCUCAAUGGUAGAGCGCCGGACUGUGGCUCCGGAUGUUGCGGGUUCAAUCCCCGUCAC